Non-coding RNA from Streptococcus sanguinis SK36, 108 nucleotides. The record is from Rfam. NCBI's taxonomy places the organism in Bacteria, Bacillati, Bacillota, Bacilli, Lactobacillales, Streptococcaceae.
UUAACCUUUAAUCAAGUCCAGUGAGGCUGCAAGGUGGGGAAACGGUAUAAGAGGCAAUUGGCUGCCUUGUUUUUUGCGAAACCUUGCUGCGGCAAGGUUUUUUCUUGU